UGUUAUCACUUUACUUCUUCUUCGAGCAAGUUAAAAGAAAUGUGGACAAAUUUGUUUAGUUAAGAUGCUGAGGCCUAAUUCCAAAAUUUGAUAAUCAAGCCCAAUUGUUCACAUCCAUCUUCUUCGAAAGUCUUCGUCUGUCUGUUCAUAUCCCUAUGUCCAGCCGGCAACAACCUUACCGAAUUAUAACGUUUUUUGUGUCAUUGAAACCUGCUCACGAAGUCUGGCCAUUACCUCUCUCCUUGAAGCGUUCUCCCGAAAUCCCUAAUUUUGACUGCUAUAAAUAGGGAUGCAGGUAGAUCGAACUUUCCCUGCUUCACGCAGCGAUCAAUGGCUUUCAGAACUACAAAAUCCUCCGGCCAAUGAAUUAACCAGGGUUUGCUGCUUCUAAUCGCGUAGACAGUUGGUGCAGAAAUCGCUAAAUUGAGCUGAACCUUAUGUUAUGUUGUAACAAAUUGUACUUCGUUUUUUUAAUAUUGUGUUUAACACAAUCAGUUGGUGCAGAAAUCGAAGUUUUUGUAUACUUUGAAACAAGGAGUUAAAUCAGAUCUGGGGAUGAACCAUUAUCUGCAACUUUAUAAAAAGAUUUUGAAUUGUUUCUGGGUCUAUCUGUAUCAGGAAGUAUAUAGAAUCCGAUGGAGUUGUUGAUUCUCUCACCAGAGGUAUAGUUUCUGUUUUUUUUUUAAUAUAGUCCACCCUUACCUAUUGCAGAUAGUUUUAUUUUUGCUAUCGAAUAGUAGUUAUGGUUUCUUUGAAUGGGACGAAUGCCUUCAUCUUCUUUAGAGUAAGUUACUGGACAUGUACUUGGUUUCUAACUUUUAUAUAUUAGUUUCUAAGAGCCUACCAUAAUCUUUAAUCCAGGUUUCCCCGUUUUUGUGAUCAAGGUGCCAAAAUUUAUGAACUAAAUAAAUCCUAAUAUAAAAUUAGGUUUAAGAGUAAAUCAUGUCCUCUACAAAAUUGAUGGAAAUUUGGGUUUAGAUUUUGAAUCAGCUUUCCUUCUUAAAAUUGGCUCUUAGUUUAUGUUUGUUUUUCAUGAUCACGAAUGCAGAUUUAAAAUGUUGCCUCUGUAAAAUUUUGGACUCAUACUCUAUGAUGCUUUGGUUUUUGCCAAUCCCAGCUCUUGAGUGGUUUUUCUAUGAUCCUUCUUUGGGUUUGCUUCAGACUAAUUCAGCAUAAGCUAGGAGGUGCUUCAGUCUCUGACUACGAGAAGCUUCAAGCUUAGACGUUUGAUCUUCAAAUAAAAUACAAUGAGCUUUUAGCUAAUCAUCAGGAAACCCUCAAAGAGUUUUUUCAUCAUCAAUCAGCAGAGGAUCGCUAGAGGCGAGGAGCUAAGUCCUCUCUCCCGAGUUUUUAUCGCCUUCCACCGCUUCUCCCCGCAUCAUAGACCAUUAUCGUCGGCCGUUCAAUGCCACGGCGGUGAAGAAGGUUAAUAGUUGGGAAGACGGAUAUGGAUGAGUUUGGUAUGGGAAGCCCAACUGAAGCUUUCGUCCUUUCAGGGACUUGACACGUGUAGCGGGAAGUUUCAUCAGGAGGAUCAGCAGCAGCUGUUGCAGAAAUAUAAUGUAUAGUGUCUCAUGGUAGUGAUACUGGUGGGAGUGUGAGACAGCUAGCUUCGCUUUGUGGUGUUGUGGUCUUAAGCCAACUUACGGUCGUGUCUCUAAGUUUGGACUAAUGGCCUAUGCAUCUUCAUUGGUUGCUUUGGCUCUACGUUUGCUGAUGUUGGGAUGCUUCUUCAUGCUCUCUCCGGGUAUGAGAGGUUUGAAUCCACGAGUAGCAAACAGUUUGAAGGGAGUGAAAGUUGGUCCAUCCGCGAGACGCUUGAAGAUGGUGUUAAUUUUGGAGUGAGAUUUGCCAACUUAGAAGCAUUGGGAUGUGUACUGACAGAGGUCUUCUUUCCGUCAUUCUCUUGUGGACUACCAGCCUAAUAUGUGGUGCAUGAUGAGUAUAUCAAUGUGGACACAGUUUUGGUGUAGAGGCAGAAGUGAGGAUGGUGCAGCUGAAAAGAGUUCUUAGUGAGCAUCUUCGCUAAAUAAUCUGAUGAUCUGAUCUCAUUUUGCUGGCUUUUGACUGAUGUCAUAAUUUUCCCGUUCUUUUCUUCUUCCAACACUCUUAUUAUUAUGCGAACGAUCCCAACCCAAGGAUGUUGCAGCCUCUAUGUCUUCCCUCGAGAACCUUAUUACGGUAAUCAUUACUUUAUGUUAGGAACAAAGUUUCUAAAGAACAUGAACACACGGUGAUUUGGUUACUGUUAUUAUCCAAGCGUAGCUUACUGAGAAUAACAAAUUUCAUGUAAGGCUCCAAAGUCAAAAUAGUCCAUGUCAUCUGAAACAAAAAGAAAGAUGGAAGAUGUUACUUCUAAUGCGUUAGUUCUUUUGUUUUCUAA
Brassica napus (rape) is the source of this 2383-nucleotide long non-coding RNA. RefSeq lists it as uncharacterized. The transcript is spliced from 7 exons. The record is from RefSeq and is a predicted model, not a curated record. Lineage: Eukaryota; Viridiplantae; Streptophyta; Magnoliopsida; Brassicales; Brassicaceae.